Molecule: long non-coding RNA, 1037 nt
Filed under: Malus domestica (apple)
Lineage: Eukaryota; Viridiplantae; Streptophyta; Magnoliopsida; Rosales; Rosaceae
Description: long non-coding RNA (MDOM_LNC017056)
Source: RNAcentral
UAUUAGAUUGUUUGUUUUAAAACUAUUUGAUUGGGUCUUUGAAUCAAAUAGUACCACCCACUAUUUCUGGCAAAUUCCACAUCCCUCAAUAGAAUUCGAGAGUUAUAUUAAACUCUUAGCGGGGUAUGGGAGACUCACCAUUACCAAGCCCACCUCACGAUGAUACGAUGUUGGUUAGCAAAAAUAAUGAUGAGAGAAUAACGCUUUAUUCAUUUACAACUUUUGUAAUUACCCAUCCGUUUGGCCUCUAGAGAAUGUUGCCUCACGAUGAUACGAUGUCGGCUCCAUUGCACUUAGUUAAGUUAUUCCCACCAUGCUUAGUUUGUGAAGGGGUUCAAGAAUAGCCUCACGAUGAUACGAUGUCGGCUAUCCUCGUUGCCUACACUCACCUCAUCAUAUGUUUAUGGACUCCUCCUGGAUGUAAGCACAUACUUUGAACUCCCCCAUGAUAGGGUGAAGCCGGUGCAUGAGUCACAAAUGAUUGGAGCCCACCACGGUGGAAGGCCUACGAAGAGAUGUUCAAAACAUCUCUCGCUUAUCAACUUAAUAUUCGUUUUGUUGAGGGAGUAGUGUUGGGCUACAUCAAAAUCAUUUUAAUCUCAUUAAAAGCACUUGGGCCUAUCAUAACCAUUGGUCCAAGUUAAUAUGAAUUAGUAGUUUAUAAUACUCCCACUAUUUCGAAGAAAACAAGCGAGACUAUAUGGAACUACUAACGAAUGCAUUGCAUCCUCAUAUGGACUAUAUAGUCAUAUUAGGUUUUAGGAUGAUUAUGAACCGUUUGAUUUGAUCCAAUACGAGCCUUGUGUUGGACCUUGGGUUUAAGGUAGAUAGUUGUUGAUUUUAGUUACGCGUUUAAUCCAAUUAAAUCGUUAUUUCCUAUUGGGUGUUGGACCCAACUAUUCCAUUUUGCAUACAUAUAAAACAAAAAGGAAUACAUGAAUAAAUAAUAAGGGCUUAUGCCCUUUUACAACAUAAAUGAUGGACUUAUGUCCAUUUACAACAAAUUGAAUUAAUCAAAUUACAUUCAAAUCUACACU